This is a long non-coding RNA of Monodelphis domestica (gray short-tailed opossum), 1652 nucleotides long. RefSeq lists it as uncharacterized. The record is from RefSeq and is a predicted model, not a curated record. Lineage: Eukaryota; Metazoa; Chordata; Mammalia; Didelphimorphia; Didelphidae.
UACAAUGAGAAAAAUGGAGUCUCAGCAAUUGUAAGAAUCUUAAUGGUUUCCUCUUCAAUUCUCACCCCAACUAUGAAUUCUUGGUAGAACACCCCUAACUGGUGAUCAUCACCAUCACUUUGAUGGAAGACCUUUAAGGGCAGGGAACUCAUAAUUUUACAAAGCAGCCCAGUUCAUUUUAAAUUGAUUUAGUUUUAGGUAGUUUUCCUUAUCUUGAGUAACUUUGGAAUUGUCAGUUGGUCAAUAAAUGUUUAUUAAGCACUUACUAUGUUCCAAAUCCUGUGCUAAGGGCUGGAGAAAUAAUUUUAAGGGGUUAAACUCUUAUCAUAGAGGCACAGUACUGCAGGUGUUUUCCUACCAGGUAGGUGGGAGUAGAUUACUUUGAUUGGUUUCAUACCUCAAACUUACUGCUUAAGACAAACUACGGUGGGAUAGUCUCACUUUCUUUUAUGCUCUUUUUUGUUAAGUCCACAGAAAAGAUGACAGGUUACCCACAGCCUGGGACCAUGAGUUGACCCUCAAAGGGGAAUAUCUUUCCUCCUUUUUUUUUUUUGCUCCAACUGAGAAAGAGAUCUAAGGAUGAUUGUUUCUGUUCUGUUCCAUUUCUGUUCCAUUUGUCCUCCUCAAUUUCAAGUGCAGGCAACAAUUCUCCCUGAAUCUAUGACUUUCAGUCAGAUGACCUCUGAGCCAGAAUUAUGGGUGGGAGUUUGUAGUCAGCCAGCCUAGCAAGGAUGCUGGGCGAGGCCAGGCCCAAGUGGCUUUUGGACUUGGAACUGGGAUUGGGCCCUGGUAGAACAGAGCAUGCAAACUCCUUUUAGAAGAUUUUUCAUCACUGAAUUUGUAUCCUCAGUAAGUAGCACAGUGCCUGGCAUAUAUGUGACCCCCCAAAUGAUUCAUUCAGCUGGAUAGCAAUGGGGGAUUUUGCUACAAUAAAAAAGAAAUGGCAAUGGCAGCUUUCAACUUCCAAACUGGUUUGUCGACUUUCCAGUUAAUAUCUGCGUGUUUGGUGCCUUCCACCUUCUGCCUUUGCUUUCACAGGAAGAGAGAGCCUGACGCACCCUGAGCCCUUCAUAGGGAAGCGUUCUCCAGGGUGCCAGUAAGAAAGGCUUUGGGAGAAAGAAGUCGUUUUACUACCAUGUGCAGCCAUUUUUUGGCUUCUUCCAGAGCAGUAGCUGUGUGCAACACCUGGAUGGCCUCCAGGAACGUCCUUGGCUUCAUACCCCACUUGCAGAGAGAGCUCCGACUCUCCCCACCUCUUCCCUCCAGUAACCCACCCAAGCAUAAGCUGCCUUUGUACCAUUCUUUCCUGCUGUCAGGCAGACUUCCAGAGUCACAUUAGCAGAUUGAAUACUACCAGCUCCAACCCUACAGUGAAGUUAGGAUGUGUCGAGAGAGAAAGAAAUUCUCUGACCGAGCCCCGUUUUAUUACAUUUAUGAGAAGCCCUAUUCAGCCCCACAAUUCCCACUAGAAAUGGGUACCAGGUAGGAGACCUUGUAUUCCAGGGGUUGUUUUUCUCUAGUGCCAGCCUCUGUCACAGUCUCCAAGCCCAGACUGUUGCAGAGAGCACUCCAGCAAGGAGACACACUAAUACGAGGAAAUCUGUUAAGUUAAACAACAGUCUGGGCAGCUCUGAGGCACAGUGUAUAGAGAU